GUGGGGGUUCACCUCCAGCAGUACCCGAUUCCUUUUGUGCUUUGCUCCUGCAGGAACUGAGCUGGGUGAGAGCGACACAAACUUUUCCAGACAUUUCCACUUCAGGGUCCUGUUGGGCUCAGCAAGCACAGCAUGAAACCAUUCCCUGAGCAGUCACUGAAGCCUGAAUCAAAAGCAACAAGAAAAGGACCCUUCUCUUAUAGGUUUGCCAGAAAUGAGGCACACACACCUGUCAGGGUGAUGUGGGUGCUGAGGAACUUCACGGAGAGGUCAUCUCGAGUGGGAUUGCAGGAGAAGCAGGGCAUCAGGCCCAGCCUGGGUUAGGGCAGGUCCUGCCUGCCCAGCCUGAUCUCUGGGACCAGCUGACCUGCCCAGGGGCUGAGGCAGAGGGAUGUUGUCUAC
Molecule: long non-coding RNA, 402 nt
Filed under: Serinus canaria (Common canary)
Lineage: Eukaryota; Metazoa; Chordata; Aves; Passeriformes; Fringillidae
Description: lncRNA (ENSSCAG00000008014.1)
Source: RNAcentral